ACGGGAGGCAGCAGUGGGGAAUAUUGGGCAAUGGGCGAAAGCCUGACCCAGCGACGCCGCGUGAGGGAAGAAGGUCUUCGGAUUGUAAACCUCUUUCAGCAGGGAAGAAGCAUGACGGUACCUGCAGAAGAAGUCACGGCUAACUACGUGCCAGCAGCCGCGGUAAUACGUAGGUGGCGAGCGUUAUCCGGAAUUACUGGGUGUAAAGGGUGUGUAGGCGGGGAAGCAAGUCAGGCGUGAAAUACACGGGCUCAACCCGUGAACUGCGCUUGAAACUGUUUUUCUUGAGAGUGGGAGAGGUAAACGGAAUUCCUGGUGUAGUAGUGAAAUGCGUAGAUAUCAGGAGGAACGCCGGUGGCGAAGGCGGUUUACUGGACCACAACUGACGCUGAGACACGAAAGCGUGGGGAGCAAACAGGAUUAGAUACCCUGGUA
This 435-nucleotide ribosomal RNA is filed under the name uncultured Oscillospiraceae bacterium. Its description in RNAcentral is "bacterial SSU rRNA". It matches the Rfam family "Bacterial small subunit ribosomal RNA", at positions 341 to 792 of the family's 1533-position model. The record is from RNAcentral. Lineage: Bacteria; Bacillati; Bacillota; Clostridia; Eubacteriales; Oscillospiraceae.